GCUUAGGGCCGCGUAUAUCCAGCAGGGCGGCCUGGGAAAGGGAAGUCGUAAUUCCGGGCAAUGGAGGCUGCUUGUUUAACUUCGCCUCCUCGCCCGGGUGCCAGCAGGCUCUGGAGGCUUAGCAACUUGAUCAUGGCCGUCUUCUUCGGGCUGGCUGGAGCCGUUCAGAUCAAUGACCCUGAUCCUGGACUUUGGAUAGUUGUGUACUCUGUGCCAGCAAGUCUUGCACUGGUAGUAAGCCUUAAUCCAUCAGUUACAGGCUCUUGA
This 267-nucleotide long non-coding RNA is filed under the name Pseudonaja textilis. RNAcentral's name for it is "lncRNA (ENSPTXG00000003507.1)". The record is from RNAcentral. Lineage: Eukaryota; Metazoa; Chordata; Lepidosauria; Squamata; Elapidae.